Truncatella angustata is the source of this 91-nucleotide non-coding RNA. The record is from the annotation of a RefSeq genome assembly. NCBI's taxonomy places the organism in Eukaryota, Fungi, Ascomycota, Sordariomycetes, Amphisphaeriales, Sporocadaceae.
GGCCGGCUGGCGAAAUGGUAUCGCGUCAGAUUUCGGUUCACUGAAAUCACCCCAACUCUGAAGAUUGCAGGUUCGAGCCCUGCGUCGGUCG